GAUGAAGAACGCAGCGAAAUGCGAUAAGUAAUGUGAAUUGCAGAAUUCAGUGAAUCAUCGAAUCUUUGAACGCACAUUGCGCCCGCCAGUAUUCUGGCGGGCAUGCCUGUUCGAGCGUCAUUUCAACCAUCAAGCCCCCGGCUUGUGUUGGGGACCUGCGGCUGCCGCAGGCCCUGAAAAGCAGUGGCGGGCUCGCUGUCACACCGAGCGUAGUAGCAUACAUCUCGCUCUGGGCGUGCUGCGGGUUCCGGCCGUUAAACCACCUUCAUAACCCAAGGUUGACCUCGGAUCAGGUAGGAAGACCCGCUGAACUUAAGCAUAUCAAUAAGCGGAGGAA
Molecule: unclassified non-coding RNA, 337 nt
Filed under: soil metagenome
Description: partial contains 5.8S ribosomal RNA, internal transcribed spacer 2, and large subunit ribosomal RNA
Rfam family: 5.8S ribosomal RNA (bases 1-120)
Source: RNAcentral